GAACUCAAGUCAAUUAAGAAAAUAUUUCAUGCACACCAUGAAGGAUAACAGUUCUUUGAGAACCCUGGGGAUUGGCAACUAUGACAAAAAUAAUGGCACUGGUCAGAAGCCAGGUUAAACCUUUAGUACUGUGUGGUCAUAACUCCAUCCAGCCUGUGCUCCUGUCACACAGUAUCAGCUCAAUGUCUAGAAGGUCUGGAGACUGAAGCUCCACAUGGGCAAUUGAAGAUGGAGACCCAGUAAAGACCCUGGACACCAAGACUUAGGUGAACUUCCCUGUUUGGCAAUAUUCUGUGCAUCAUGUCAGACAUCAUUGCUGGGAGAAGUUAACACUGUCCAUGGAGGGAGGACAACUGGAAGCUCUGCAUUUGGAACCCUUCUGGACUCUGCCCCACACACCUCUUCACUUGGCUGAUUUUAAUCUUUAUCCUUUUGCUGUUAUAAACUGUAACCGUGAGUCUGUCAGCUUUCAAUGAGUUCUGUGAGUCCUUCUAGAGAAUCAUCAAACCAAAAGGUGGACUUGGGGAGUCCCAAACUUGCAACUGGUGUUCAAAGUCCACAAAGGUGGUCUUGUGGACUGUGUCCCCUAACUUUUCACUACUAGAGAUUAAAU
Molecule: long non-coding RNA, 613 nt
Filed under: Equus caballus (horse)
Lineage: Eukaryota; Metazoa; Chordata; Mammalia; Perissodactyla; Equidae
Description: lncRNA (ENSECAG00000050280.1)
Source: RNAcentral